Molecule: ribosomal RNA, 796 nt
Filed under: Bacillus siamensis
Lineage: Bacteria; Bacillati; Bacillota; Bacilli; Caryophanales; Bacillaceae
Description: bacterial SSU rRNA
Rfam family: Bacterial small subunit ribosomal RNA
Source: RNAcentral
GCUAUACAUGCAAGUCGAGCGGACAGAUGGGAGCUUGCUCCCUGAUGUUAGCGGCGGACGGGUGAGUAACACGUGGGUAACCUGCCUGUAAGACUGGGAUAACUCCGGGAAACCGGGGCUAAUACCGGAUGGUUGUUUGAACCGCAUGGUUCAGACAUAAAAGGUGGCUUCGGCUACCACUUACAGAUGGACCCGCGGCGCAUUAGCUAGUUGGUGAGGUAACGGCUCACCAAGGCAACGAUGCGUAGCCGACCUGAGAGGGUGAUCGGCCACACUGGGACUGAGACACGGCCCAGACUCCUACGGGAGGCAGCAGUAGGGAAUCUUCCGCAAUGGACGAAAGUCUGACGGAGCAACGCCGCGUGAGUGAUGAAGGUUUUCGGAUCGUAAAGCUCUGUUGUUAGGGAAGAACAAGUGCCGUUCAAAUAGGGCGGCACCUUGACGGUACCUAACCAGAAAGCCACGGCUAACUACGUGCCAGCAGCCGCGGUAAUACGUAGGUGGCAAGCGUUGUCCGGAAUUAUUGGGCGUAAAGGGCUCGCAGGCGGUUUCUUAAGUCUGAUGUGAAAGCCCCCGGCUCAACCGGGGAGGGUCAUUGGAAACUGGGGAACUUGAGUGCAGAAGAGGAGAGUGGAAUUCCACGUGUAGCGGUGAAAUGCGUAGAGAUGUGGAGGAACACCAGUGGCGAAGGCGACUCUCUGGUCUGUAACUGACGCUGAGGAGCGAAAGCGUGAGGAGCGAACAGGAUUAGAUACCCUGGUAGUCCACGCCGUAAACGAUGAGUGCUAAGUGUUAG